GUGGCAACCCGUUUGGGUCCCCUUCCACACUGGAAGCUUUGUUCUUUUGCUCUUCACAAUAAAUCUUGCUGCUGCUCAUAGAAAGAUGCAAGCUAGUGCUAGCGAGACAGCCUGCAAAACCCCUGUGUUGUUUUGGGCUGUUAACCAUAGUCUGAGUGGCUUAGACAACAAACAUUUAUUUCUCACAGUUCUAGAGGCUAGAAGUCCAAGAGCAGAUGCCAGCAGACCUGUCUGGGGAAGGCCUGCUUCUUGGCCUGGAGACAGCCGCUUGCUCACUAUGUCUUCACAGGGCAGAGUGAACCCUGGUCUGUUUCUCUUACAAGGACACUCAUCCCACUGUGGGCCUCCACCUUUGUGAUUUCAUCUAUACCUAAAAGGCCCCACUUCCUAGUAUUCCGCCGGGGGUUCAGGCUUCAAAGAUGAAUACUGGGGGCGACACAAACGGAGCCCAUAACCUCAUGCCGCCUGACUCCUGAGGCUGUAUUCGUGAUGAACGUGUGGCUGCCCAAGUUUUGUUUUGCUCAGGCAGGAUCAGCACACACCCAGCCACAGACAGGGAAGCCCAGAGCAGGGCAGAAUAUGGUCCCUCAAGUGAAUAAUUGGCCCAGGGAUACAGAAUUAGGUGAUUCUAGCAAAUCCAGACAUUUUCUAGGGUGCCAGUGAAUUUUGGGUCUGUCCCUGUUAGCUGUUCUUGAGAUUUUGCACUCAACUUGCGAUGGUUAAUACGGAGUGUCAACUUGAUUGGAUUGAAGGAUGCAAAGUAUUGUUUCUGGGUGUGUCUGUGAGGGUGUUGCCAAAGGAGAUUAACAUUUGUGUCAGUGGGCUGGGAAAGGCAGACCCACCCUCAAUCUGGGUGGGCACCAUCUAAUCAGCUGCCAGCGUGGCCGGAAUAAAAGCAGGCAGGAGAAUGUGGAAAGACUAGACUAGUCUUGUGGCCUCCAUCUUUCUCCUGUGCUGGAUGCUUCCUGCCCUUGAACAUCGGACUCCAAGUUCUUCCGUUUUGGGACUUGGAUUAGCUUCCUUGCUCCUCAGCCUGCAGACGGCCUACUGUGGGACCCCUUCUUACUGAAAGCCUCCCUGUAAGGUGCUGAUUGCCUUCCAGAUCUGAGGACCCCGUCUCUGCCUCAUUCCUCCUGUUUCCAUCAGAAGACACAGGUCUGGGACUCAGCGCAGCUGACCUGUCUGUCCCUCUCUGCACAGUUUACUCCUGGGCUCUGCAGAGAGAAGUCAGUGCCUCAAUUUUCCAUUGAAAUAUGCACCCUUGGCAUCCUGGCAGGUGAGCGGCGCCCCCUUAGGGCUAAUACAGUGACAUAAAAUGUGUCAUAUUUUUGGCUGUGUGGUGGCUCAUGCCUGUGAUCCCCACACUUUGGGUGGCUGAGGCAGGCUGACUGCCUGAACUCGG
RNAcentral lists this long non-coding RNA (1402 nucleotides) under Homo sapiens (human). Its description in RNAcentral is "HSALNT0387442". The record is from RNAcentral. Lineage: Eukaryota; Metazoa; Chordata; Mammalia; Primates; Hominidae.